GUGCGUGUAGCUCAGCUGGUUAGAGCACAGGGUUGUGGUCCCUGGGGUCGCCGGUUCGAAUCCGGUCACGCACCCCA
RNAcentral lists this transfer RNA (77 nucleotides) under Candidatus Dadabacteria bacterium. Its description in RNAcentral is "tRNA-His". It matches the Rfam family "tRNA". From Rfam's summary of the family: Transfer RNA (tRNA) molecules are approximately 80 nucleotides in length. The record is from RNAcentral. Lineage: Bacteria; Pseudomonadati; Thermodesulfobacteriota; Candidatus Dadabacteria. RNAcentral also lists the same sequence under 1 other name.